UACGUAGGUGGCGAGCGUUGUCCGGAUUUACUGGGCGUAAAGAGCGCGCAGGCGGUCGUCCAAGUCGCGUGUGAAAGCCCCCGGCUCAACUGGGGAGGGUCACGCGAUACUGAUCGACUCGAAGGCAGGAGAGGGUAGUGGAAUUCCCGGUGUAGUGGUGAAAUGCGUAGAUAUCGGGAGGAACACCAGUGGCGAAGGCGACUACCCGGCCUGUUCUUGACGCUGAGGCGCGAAAGCUAGGGGAGCAAACGGG
RNAcentral lists this ribosomal RNA (253 nucleotides) under uncultured bacterium. RNAcentral describes it as "partial 16S ribosomal RNA". It matches the Rfam family "Bacterial small subunit ribosomal RNA", at positions 524 to 776 of the family's 1533-position model. The record is from RNAcentral.